AUACUUAUGUAGCUGGAGAUACCAUGAUCAGUUAUGAAGGUGGUUUUCCCAGGGCAAGUCUGACUUAUUGCACUCUGGGUGUGCUGACCCUUGAAAUUUCCCCAAAUUCAGAAAACUUAACUGCAAACUUAGGGCAGUGUGGGACAGUAUUCAAACUCUCCCUUG
Molecule: small nuclear RNA, 165 nt
Organism: Perognathus longimembris pacificus (Pacific pocket mouse)
Lineage: Eukaryota; Metazoa; Chordata; Mammalia; Rodentia; Heteromyidae
Product: U1 spliceosomal RNA
Exons: 1
Source: RefSeq, a predicted model, not a curated record